AUAAUCAAACCAAACAGACCAGACCCUCAUCCAGAUGGCUCAGCUCCCUUGUUAAAUGUUGGCACUGACACCACGUGCUAUGCACAAUUCGUGGGAUUCACCUGGAUACACAGCAACAGGAUAAACAGUCUUCAUGUGCACCAGAGCUGAAAACCCUCUGGAGGUGCCUUCAUGAGUGGAGAUGGACUGAGGCGAGUGGUUUGACAGGGAAAUGACAUGCGACUGAGCUAAGCUGAGCAACACUUCAGGGUGAAAAGGAAUCACUAUUCUUUGAAGCGAGAGUGAAGAGAGGUGAGAAAUCACAGACUUGCUUCUUGACUGACCUGCUGCGGGGCUGGCUAAUAUAUCCAGGCUCCCAAAUGAUGGGAUGACCUUUCCACCUCAGCCAGGACUCCAGCGUCACUCACAGCAUGAAGUGAAAACUCAUCUCCUUGCUAAACACUUCACAUCGCUCUCCUCUCUGCCUCCCUCCUCCACUUGCAUCUGAUUUGAAUCCUGCCUUACAAGAAAGGGGAAGUCCCAGAGUGGUUCCCUUCAUCCAGGCACUGAAGACAAGAUCCUGUCAAAAGCUCAGCUGGAGUCCAGUCCGAAGGCUCUCUGUGGCCUGGUCUUGCUCCCUGACAUGGUGGAGCUGCAGCAGAGAAACCACAUAGGAAUAAUUCUGUCCUCGGGGGAAAGAGAAUCAAGCUUCUGUGGAACAGACGACUUCCUCAGAGACCUGCGGAUGAAUGGAGAGGAGAGGAGAGGAGAAGAGGAGAGGAGAGGAGUUCAGCUAUUGAUGAGUUUUUCUCUCCCACGGCCCUCCACCGUGCAGCCCCUGGCCGUCUGGACACCCGCCACGUGUGAACAAGCUUUCAGCUCGCAUCAUCUUCUCCACUUCCAGCUAUAAUUGGCCAUAUGUGUCACCAGCACCCUGCUGCUGCUGCCGCUGCUGCUGCUGGAGGGAGAGAACG
This is a long non-coding RNA of Lates calcarifer (barramundi perch), 953 nucleotides long. RefSeq lists it as uncharacterized. Lineage: Eukaryota; Metazoa; Chordata; Actinopteri; Centropomidae. The transcript has 5 exons. The record is from RefSeq and is a predicted model, not a curated record.